Molecule: ribosomal RNA, 439 nt
Filed under: Anaplasma ovis
Lineage: Bacteria; Pseudomonadati; Pseudomonadota; Alphaproteobacteria; Rickettsiales; Anaplasmataceae
Description: bacterial SSU rRNA
Rfam family: Bacterial small subunit ribosomal RNA
Source: RNAcentral
AAUUCAGAAGUUGAUCAUGGUUCAGAACGAACUGGGGCGGCAAGCUUAACACAUGCAAGUCGAACGGACCGUACGCGCAGCUUGCUGCGUGUAUGGUUAGUGGCAGACGGGUGAGUAAUGCAUAGGAAUCUACCUAGUAGUAUGGGAUAGCCACUGGAAAUGGUGGGUAAUACCGUAUAAUCCCUGCGGGGGAAAGAUUUAUCGCUAUUAGAUGAGCCUAUGUCGGAUUAGCUAGUUGGUGGGGUAAUGGCCUACCAAGGCAGUGAUCUGUAGCUGGUCUGAGAGGAUGAUCAGCCACACUGGAACUGAGACACGGUCCAGACUCCUACGGGAGGCAGCAGUGGGGAAUAUUGGACAAUGGGCGCAAGCCUGAUCCAGCUAUGCCGCGUGAGUGAGGAAGGCCUUAGGGUUGUAAAACUCUUUCAGUAGGGAAGAUAAU